GGGCAUAAAAAAAAAAAAAGGCAAAGUCUAGACUGCCAAUGGAAUUAACACAUGUAAAAUAUUAUGUAAUACACUCCAGUAAAAAAAAACGGCUCCUUCCAAGCAGACGAAAUUCACGGAUCCAGUCCGGGUCACGAAAAAGGACAAGAGCCACCGCACUCUCCAGUCUACACGGAUGAGGUGGUCACGGAGAAGUGCCUAGACAGAAUGCUGCAAAGAAUGCAGGCUACCAUCUCUGCAGACCGUAAGAUGCUCCGAGAGGACGUUAGAAAGGAUAUAUCUGAACUUUGGGACCGCACAAGUCAUCUUGAGCAACGCACUGAGGAGUUGUGCGAAGCCCACUAUGAAGUUGUGGACAAAGUGCAAAAGUUUACUUAAGAAAAUUCAGCGUUAAAAAACAAAAUUGCGGACAUAGAAGACGGGUUGCGGAGAGAGAACGUGAGAUUUAGGGGUAUCCCUGAAAAUAUCUUGCAAGAAGCGCUUCCUGCCUACAUCAAAGCCAUCUGCAAGGCCGUAGUCCUGGAGGCACCAGAUACUGCAUGGCAAUUUGACUGUCUGCACAGACUACCAAUACCGGCGAGAUUCACUGUGGACACCCUCAGGGAUGUGAUCGAGUAUUAUCACUAUCACUACAAGAACCUACUACUCACGGCAGCACAGAAUUCUGUGCAAUCACAAUAUCUCCUACAAAUGGGGAUAUCCCGCAAAGCUAUUGGUAUGGAAGGAAGGCAGAACACAUGUUAUGGCAGAUCCAGAUGACUGCUUUAACUGAAGGACUGGGGGGCUCUCAGCCACUUCAAGUGCCAAUCCACAGAAAGGUAUCUGCUAUGUUGUUACAUGCCUUCUUGCAUAGGGCCACCAUACAUUGCCUCCUUGCGUGCCUCUUCUAUAGCUGUUUAAUAUAGCACUGUUGGGCCCGAGCUGAGAUGCCUCCAUAGCAUGCAGAGUAUGAUA
This is a non-coding RNA of Pelobates cultripes (western spadefoot toad), 954 nucleotides long. The record is from the annotation of a GenBank genome assembly. Lineage: Eukaryota; Metazoa; Chordata; Amphibia; Anura; Pelobatidae.